GCCUACGGGAGGCAGCAGUGAGGAAUAUUGGGCAAUGCCCGCAAGGGUGACCCAGCAACGCCGCGUGGAGGAUGUAGGUCGUAAGAUUGUAAACUCCUGUUAGAGGGGACGAAUAACACCGAUCGACUAGGUGUCUGACUGUACCCUCAGAGAAGCCCGCAACCAUU
RNAcentral lists this ribosomal RNA (167 nucleotides) under uncultured bacterium. RNAcentral describes it as "partial 16S ribosomal RNA". It matches the Rfam family "Bacterial small subunit ribosomal RNA", at positions 337 to 501 of the family's 1533-position model. The record is from RNAcentral.